CGGGCCCUUUUUGUCUUGUAUUGGAUGAUGGGAUUUAAACCUCUUCCAGAGUAUCAAUUGGAGGGCAAGUCUGGUGCCAGCAGCCGCGGUAAUUCCAGCUCCAAUAGCGUAUAUUAAAAUUGUUGCAGUUAAAAAGCUCGUAGUUGAAUUUCUGCUGCAUUGCUUUUGCUCCUUUACGAGUCUUUGCAUUGUGGCUUAUUUCGGACUUUGUUUUACAAUGUCCGGAUGUUUACUUUGAGAAAAUUAGAGUGCUCAAAGCAGGCUUUCGCCUUGAAUAGUUUAGCAUGGAAUAAUAAAGUAGGACUUUGGUUCUAUUUUGUUGGUUUUAGGUACCAAAGUAAUGGUUAAUAGGAACAGUUGGGGGCAUUCGUAUUUAACUGUCAGAGGUGAAAUUCUUAGAUUUGUUAAAGACGAACUACUGCGAAAGCAUUUGCCAAGGAUGUUUUCAUUAAUCAAGAACGAAAGUUAGGGAAUCGAAGAAA
RNAcentral lists this ribosomal RNA (482 nucleotides) under Theileria sp. RNAcentral describes it as "SSU rRNA". It matches the Rfam family "Eukaryotic small subunit ribosomal RNA", at positions 487 to 1006 of the family's 1831-position model. The record is from RNAcentral. Lineage: Eukaryota; Apicomplexa; Aconoidasida; Piroplasmida; Theileriidae.